CCUACGGGUGGCAGCAGUGGGGAAUAUUGGACAAUGGGGGGAACCCUGAUCCAGCCAUGCCGCGUGUGUGAAGAAGGCCCUCGGGUUGUAAAGCACUUUCAGUGAGGAAGAACGCCUGGUGGUUAAUACCCAUCAGGAAAGACAUCACUCACAGAAGAAGCACCGGCUAACUCCGUGCCAGCAGCCGCGGUAAUACGGAGGGUGCGAGCGUUAAUCGGAAUUACUGGGCGUAAAGCGCGCGUAGGUGGCUUGAUAAGCCGGUUGUGAAAGCCCCGGGCUCAACCUGGGAACGGCAUCCGGAACUGUCAAGCUAGAGUGCAGGAGAGGAAGGUAGAAUUCCCGGUGUAGCGGUGAAAUGCGUAGAGAUCGGGAGGAAUACCAGUGGCGAAGGCGGCCUUCUGGACUGACAAUGACACUGAGGUGCGAAAGCGUGGGUAGCAAACAGGAUUAGAUACCCCAGUAGUC
RNAcentral lists this ribosomal RNA (465 nucleotides) under Vreelandella stevensii. RNAcentral describes it as "partial 16S ribosomal RNA". It matches the Rfam family "Bacterial small subunit ribosomal RNA", at positions 338 to 795 of the family's 1533-position model. The record is from RNAcentral. Lineage: Bacteria; Pseudomonadati; Pseudomonadota; Gammaproteobacteria; Oceanospirillales; Halomonadaceae.